GGCGAGGUAGCUCAGGUGGUUAGAGCGCAGGAUUCAUAAUCCUGAGGUCGUGAGUUCAAGUCUCACUCUCGCUACAA
This 77-nucleotide transfer RNA is filed under the name Marinilabiliales bacterium. RNAcentral describes it as "tRNA-Met". It matches the Rfam family "tRNA". Rfam says of the family: Transfer RNA (tRNA) molecules are approximately 80 nucleotides in length. Their secondary structure includes four short double-helical elements and three loops (D, anti-codon, and T loops). The record is from RNAcentral. Lineage: Bacteria; Pseudomonadati; Bacteroidota; Bacteroidia; Marinilabiliales.